GAUGAAGAACGUAGCGAAAUGCGAUACGUAAUGUGAAUUGCAGAAUUCAGUGACUCAUCGAGUCUUUGAACGCACAUUGCGCCCCCUGGUAUUCCGGGGGGCAUGCCUGUCCGAGCGUCAUUGCUGCCCUCAAGCACGGCUUGUGUGUUGGGCCUCCGUCCUCCUCCCGGGGGACGGGCCCGAAAGGCAGCGGCGGCACCGCGUCCGGUCCUCGAGCGUAUGGGGCUUCGUCACCCGCUCUUGUAGGCCCGGCCGGCGCUUGCCGACACAUCAAUCUUUUUUCCAGGUUGACCUCGGAUCAGGUAGGGAUACCCGCUGAACUUAAGCAUAUCAAUAAGCGGAGGA
Molecule: unclassified non-coding RNA, 345 nt
Filed under: soil metagenome
Description: partial contains 5.8S ribosomal RNA, internal transcribed spacer 2, and large subunit ribosomal RNA
Rfam family: 5.8S ribosomal RNA (bases 1-120)
Source: RNAcentral